Non-coding RNA from Caerostris darwini, 98 nucleotides. Lineage: Eukaryota; Metazoa; Arthropoda; Arachnida; Araneae; Araneidae. The record is from the annotation of a GenBank genome assembly.
GAAGAUACCAUGCUGAAUACACCGGUUCUCGUUAGAUCACCGAAGUCAAGCAUCAUUGGGCACGAGCAGUACUUGGGUGGGUGACCACCUGGGAACAC